RNAcentral lists this ribosomal RNA (488 nucleotides) under uncultured bacterium. RNAcentral's name for it is "bacterial SSU rRNA". It matches the Rfam family "Bacterial small subunit ribosomal RNA", at positions 502 to 991 of the family's 1533-position model. The record is from RNAcentral.
UACGUGCCAGCAGCCGCGGUAAUACGUAUGUCGCAAGCGUUAUCCGGAAUUAUUGGGCAUAAAGGGCAUCUAGGCGGCCAGAUAAGUCUGGGGUGAAAACUUGCGGCUCAACCGCAAGCCUGCCCUGGAAACUAUGUGGCUAGAGUACUGGAGAGGUGGACGGAACUGCACGAGUAGAGGUGAAAUUCGUAGAUAUGUGCAGGAAUGCCGAUGAUGAAGAUAGUUCACUGGACGGUAACUGACGCUGAAGUGCGAAAGCUAGGGGAGCAAACAGGAUUAGAUACCCUGGUAGUCCUAGCUGUAAACGAUGAUUACUGGGUGUGGGCAUGAAGAGUGUCCGUGCCGAAGUUAAUGCGAUAAGUAAUCCGCCUGGGGAGUACGGCCGCAAGGCUGAAACUCAAAGGAAUUGACGGGGACCCGCACAAGCGGUGGAGCAUGUGGUUUAAUUCGACGCAACGCGAGGAACCUUACCAGAUCUUGACAUCCCG